GAUGAACGCUAGCUACAGGCUUAACACAUGCAAGUCGAGGGGUAACGAGAGGAAAGCUUGCUUUCCUUGUCGACGACCGGCGCACGGGUGAGUAACGCGUAUCCAACCUGCCCCCAACUAGGGAAUAACCUUGCGAAAGUAAGACUAAUACCCUAUAAUUUCCUCAGAUGACAUCUGACGAGGACUAAAGAUUUAUCGGUUGUGGAUGGGGAUGCGUCUGAUUAGCUUGUUGGCGGGGUAACGGCCCAACAAGGCAACGAUCAGUAGGGGUUCUGAGAGGAAGGUCCCCCACAUUGGAACUGAGACACGGUCCAAACUCCUACGGGAGGCAGCAGUGAGGAAUAUUGGUCAAUGGGCGGAAGCCUGAACCAGCCAAGUAGCGUGCAGGAUGACGGCCCUAUGGGUUGUAAACUGCUUUUAUACAGGAAUAAAGUUAGCCACGUGUGGUUAUUUGUAGGUACUGUAUGAAUAAGGACCGGCUAGUUCCGUGCCAGCCGCCGCCGUAA
This 506-nucleotide ribosomal RNA is filed under the name uncultured bacterium. Its description in RNAcentral is "partial 16S ribosomal RNA". It matches the Rfam family "Bacterial small subunit ribosomal RNA", at positions 28 to 523 of the family's 1533-position model. The record is from RNAcentral.